RNAcentral lists this ribosomal RNA (618 nucleotides) under Parabacteroides distasonis. RNAcentral describes it as "partial 23S ribosomal RNA". It matches the Rfam family "Bacterial large subunit ribosomal RNA", at positions 445 to 1060 of the family's 2925-position model. Lineage: Bacteria; Pseudomonadati; Bacteroidota; Bacteroidia; Bacteroidales; Tannerellaceae. The record is from RNAcentral.
AGCGGGGCCCAUCCCGUAAGGCUAAAUACUCCCGAGAGACCGAUAGCGAACCAGUACCGUGAGGGAAAGGUGAAAAGAACCCCGAGCAGGGGAGUGAAAUAGACCCUGAACCCGUCUGCCUACAAGCGGUCGGAGCAUCGUCAAGAUGUGACGGCGUGCCUUUUGCAUAAUGAACCUACGAGUUACCUUCCCCGGCAAGGUUAAGUACCUAAGGUACGGAGCCGAAGCGAAAGCGAGUCUGAAGAGGGCGGCCAGUCGGGGGGGGUAGACGCGAAACCGAGUGAUCUACCCUUGGCCAGGUUGAAGGUUGGGUAACACCAACUGGAGGACCGGAUGGGUAAGCGUUGAAAAGCUUUCCAAUGAGCUGAGGGUAGGGGUGAAAGGCUAAUCAAACUCGGAGAUAGCUCGUACUCCCCGAAAUGCAUUUAGGUGCAGCCUCUUUAUAGUAUAUCGUGAGGUAGAGCGACUGAUUGGAUGCGAGGGCUUCACCGCCUAUCAAGUCCAGAUAAACUCCGAAUGCGCGAUAUAUAUUUAAAGGGAGUGAGGGCGCGGGUGCUAAGGUCCGUGUCCGAGAGGAGAAGAAUCCAGACCACCGGCUAAGGCCCCCAAAUGAUCGUU